CUAUACAUGACUCUGCGCAUAUCAAUAAGCGGAGGAAAAGAAACUAACAAGGAUUCCCUUAGUAACGGCGAGUGAAGCGGGAAGAGCUCAAAUUUGAAAUCUUCAAGGUUUUACCUUGACGAAUUGUAGUUUAAAGAAGUGUUUUCUGCUGAAGUUUUGGUAAAAGUUCUUUGGAAUAGGACAUCAUAGAGGGUGAGAAUCCCGUAUUUGACCUUUACUUUCAACUUUGUGAUACACUUUCAAAGAGUCGGACUGUUUGGGAAUGCAGUCCAAAAUGGGUGGUAAAUUUCAUCUAAAGCUAAAUAUUGGCGAGAGACCGAUAGCGAACAAGUACCGUGAGGGAAAGAUGAAAAGAACUUUGAAAAGAGAGUUAAACAGUACGUGAAAUUGUCAAAAGGGAAGCGUUUGACACCAGCGUUGUUUUUCUGAAAAUCAAUUAAAAAUGGCUCGAUUUUGUAUUGCUUGAGACCUUAAAAGCUCACUGUAGCAUUUUUCGUGUCUUUUUUAAUGCACUUUUCGUUUAACAAGUCAACAUCAGUUUCUUUUGUUGUAAAAGGGUCAUUGGAAGGUGGCUUUCUUUUCGGAGAAAGUGUUUAUAGCCUUUGGCCUCUGCAAUCGGAGAGACUGAGGUCUGCAGCGUAGACUCUUCGGGGUUAGAUACAUUUGUGCUAAGUUAUAGCUUUUUAUAGACAACUUGUUGACUAUAAUUAGUCUUGUAGCUUACUCGCUUAUGCUAUUUUACCUACGCUUAGGAUGUUGACAGCAGUAUAGACUGUA
This 777-nucleotide ribosomal RNA is filed under the name uncultured Neocallimastigales. Its description in RNAcentral is "partial large subunit ribosomal RNA". It matches the Rfam family "Eukaryotic large subunit ribosomal RNA", at positions 22 to 634 of the family's 3401-position model. The record is from RNAcentral. Lineage: Eukaryota; Fungi; Neocallimastigomycota; Neocallimastigomycetes; Neocallimastigales.